RNAcentral lists this long non-coding RNA (228 nucleotides) under Lathyrus oleraceus (garden pea). RNAcentral describes it as "Pisum sativum (pea) long non-coding RNA (PSAT_LNC015605)". The record is from RNAcentral. Lineage: Eukaryota; Viridiplantae; Streptophyta; Magnoliopsida; Fabales; Fabaceae.
AUAGGCUCAAAAUUGGUUAGCAAAGGAUACAUUAAUAUAAGGGACGGCUAGAAAGGUUUAGGGCUUUAAACAAACAACGUGCCUCAGUGUGUGUAACAUGCACAUGAUAUCAGAAAAGAGAAAAUGCAAGUUAUAUAUGAUAAAAACAUACCUGAAUGCUCUCUCUAGGUGCUCAUAGUCAACCACUCAUGCUAAUCAUCAUCACUUAAAUAACAUAAACAUAAAAAU